CCUACGGGUGGCAGCAGUGGGGAAUAUUGCACAAUGGGGGAAACCCUGAUGCAGCGACGCCGCGUGAGCGAUGAAGUAUUUCGGUAUGUAAAGCUCUAUCAGCAGUGAAGAACAUGACGGUACCUGACUCAGAAGCCCCGUCUCACUACGUGCUAGCAGCCGCGGUAAUACGUAGGGGGCCAGCGUUAUCCGUAUUUACUGGGUUUAAAGGGAGCGUAGACGGCGAUGCAAGACAGCGGUGAAAGGCCGGGGCUCAACCCCGGGACUGCAUUUGCAACUGGAUAGCUGGAGUGUCGGAGAGGCAGGCGGAAUUCCUAGUGUAGCGGUGAAAUGCGUAGAUAUUAGGAGGAACACCAGUGGCGAAGGCGGCCUGCUGGACGAUGACUGACGUUGAGGCUCGAAAGCGUGGGGAGCAAACAGGAUUAGAUACCCUAGUAGUC
This 440-nucleotide ribosomal RNA is filed under the name uncultured bacterium. Its description in RNAcentral is "partial 16S ribosomal RNA". It matches the Rfam family "Bacterial small subunit ribosomal RNA", at positions 338 to 795 of the family's 1533-position model. The record is from RNAcentral.